Zalophus californianus (California sea lion) is the source of this 4112-nucleotide long non-coding RNA. The record is from Ensembl. NCBI's taxonomy places the organism in Eukaryota, Metazoa, Chordata, Mammalia, Carnivora, Otariidae.
AGGCCUGGCCUCGGACCGCCAAUUACAAAGAAAACCACCAGGACCACUGCCUGGGCGUACGCCGCGAGCUUUCUCCUCCGAGAACGCCGCUGAAGGGCAUGGCGCAGGGCGGUGCACAGCCCAAACACUUCCCGGAGCACGGUGCUGCCGGGACCCCGCGCACGAGGUUCCGGGGUACUAAAUGGCCCACGCUGCUCCAGCUCUUGCCCCGGCUAAUUCUGGCAGGAAUUGCCUCUCCCUCCCCUGAUCCUGAAUGGUCCGUCUUCCAGAAUUUCUUCUGUCUGUAUCCAGCACCCACAGCAAAUGGUGCCAUGAACCAUCCAGAUGCAACACAUGAAAUACAGGGGCCACAAGGGGUCCGUCCUUACCCCCAAGCCCUACACUGAAUCCGUUUCCAUUUCCAACUCCUGUCAAUUCCAACUCCAAGCCCAUAUGCUUCUCCAUCACCCUGCCACCACUCUUCCGUCAAACUCCAGUCUUGUACCCAGGUAAUUUUUCACAAGUGGAAUGAGUUUUAAAAAAUAUAUAUUGACCUACUAGUAAGUCUUUUUUUAAAAAAAGAUUUUAUAUAUUUAUUUGACAGAGAGAGAGAGAGCACAAGCAGGAGGAGCGGCAGGCAAAGGGAGAGGGAGAAGCAGGUUCCCUCUGAGCAGGGAACCUGAUGUGGGGCUUGAUCCCAGGACCCCAGGAUCAUGACCCCAGCCGAAGACAGACACUCAACCGACCGAGCCACCCAGGCGCCCCGAAAAAGUAAAAAAUCUAAUAGGAAAAGUGGCAAAGAAUAUAGUUUUCAGAAGAGAAAAUACAAAUGGCUCUUAAACAUGUGAAAAGAUUCUAAUCUCUCCAGUAAGAGAACUGCAAAUGAAAAUGACUCAGACAUCACUGGCAAAGAUCAAAAGAUUGAUGAUACACGAAGUUGGCAAGUUUGUGGGGGAAACCACCAUCCUCAUGCAUUGCCUGUGGAACAUGAACUGGCACAAUUUUUCUUUUCUUUCUUUUUUUCUUUUUUAAGUUGCUGUAUGCCCAACAUGGGGUUUGAACUCACGAUCCUGAGAUCAAGAAUUGCAUGCUCUACCAACUGAGCCAGCCAGGUAUCCCCAGCUGGUGUGCUUUUUAUGACUAAUUUGGCAAUAUUCAGCAAAUAUUCAACCAAAUUUAAUUAAUUUAUUUAAAUUUUAUUUUAUUUACAUUCAAUUAAUUAACAUAUUGUGUAUUAUUAGUUUUAGAGGUAGAGUUCAGUGAUUCAUCAGUUGUCUAACACCCAGUGUUCAUCACACCAUGUGCCCUCCUUAAUGCCCAUCACCCAGCUACCCCAUCCCCCCACCCUUCUUCCCUACAGCAACCCUCAGUUUGUUUCCUAUUGUUAAGAGUCUCUUUUGGUUUGUCUCCCUUUCUGAUUUCAUCUUGUGUUAUUUUUCCCUCCCUUCCCCUAUGCUGUCCUUCCCCUUGCUGUUUUGUUUUGUUUCUUAAAUUCCACAUAGGAAUGAGAUCAUAUGGUAUUUGUCUUUCUCUGAUUGACUUAUUUCGCUUAGCAUAAUACCAUCUAGUUCUAUCCAUGUUGUUGGAAUCAACGAAAUUUUAUUUUUUAUUUUUCAAAGAUAUUAUUUAUUUGAGAGAGAGAGAGAAUGACAGCACAAGCAGGGGAGCGGCAGGCAGAAGGAGAGGGAGAAACAGACUCCCUGCUUAGCAGGGAGCCCGACAUGGGGCUCGAUCCCAGGACCCUGGGAUCAUGACCUGAGCCAAAGGCAGUCACUUAACCAACUGAGCCACCCAAGCACCCCAACCAAAUUUUAAAUGCACUUAGCUUUCAACCCAGAAACCACUUCUAGAAAUUUAUUCCUAUGACAUGUGCAAUCCUAGGACAUGUGCAGAAUGAAGUAUCAAUAUUUAUUGCAGUAUUUAUACUAGCAAAUAUACUGGAAACAACUUAAAGGUCCACUAAGAGGAAACUUGUUAAAUAAAUUAUGGUCCAUCUAUACAAUGGACACCUUAAUGGACAUACUCUGAAAUGGCCCCCCAUUAUCUCUGCCUCCUGGUACUCAUGCCAAGUGUAAUCCCUUCCCUUUUGGUGUGGGUGGGACAUGUGGCUUCCUUCCAAUAUACAGAAUGGGGCAAAGGUGACUCGGAUGUCACUUCCAUGAUUAUAUCACAUAAGAUAAUGUACAUCUGUCUUGCUAGCAGACUCUCUCCCUUGCUUACUCUGAUAAGGCCUGCUGCUAUGUUGUGAGUUACCUUAUGGAGAGGCAUACACGGCAGGCAACUGAGGGUCGCCUCUCCCCAACAGUCAGCAAGAAACUGAGGGCAUCAGUUCUGCAACCCACAAAGAACUGCAUUCUGCCAACAACUGUGUGAGCAUGAAAGCACAUCUGUCCCCAGUCAAACCUUGAGAUGAGAACACAGCUCCAAGUGACACCUUGACCACAGCCUGUGAGAGACCCUGAUGCAGAGGACCCAACAGGCUGCAUGUGGACUGUUGACCUAGAGAUUUUGAGAUAAGAAAUGUGCUGUUUUCAGCCACGAAGUUUGUUAUGCAGCAAUAGAUAACUGAUGCAGGUAUUAUGCAGCUAUGAGAAGCAUGAUGCCAUUUUGUAUGUUUUGAUAAUGGAAUGAACUCCAAAAUACACUAAGGGGAAAAAGAAGGCAAGGCCAUACGGUGACUAUAAUGGUAUCAUUUGUGUGUAUAUAAACACUUGUCUGUGCAUAGAGUAUGUCUGGUAUCUCUGGAAUGAUACACAAGAUGUUGAUAGCAUUGGUUGCCCUCUUGGUAGGGGAACUCAGUGGCUGCGGACCUUCUGAAUUUUGCUCCAUGUACAAGAAAAUGUAAUUCAGCAAAUUUUAAACCCUUUUGUUCCCAUUGUAGUCAAAAUAAAAUUUAAUUCCUUACAAGGGCCUAAAAGACUCUACAUGACUUGGGCCUUGCCUACUUCUCCAACUUCAACGCAUGCCACUCCUUCUGGCUUUCAUGACACUCCAGCCACUAGAAUAUAAAUUCCUUGAAAGCAGGAAUAUGUCUCUCAUUUACUUUUUGAUCUCUAGCACCUAGCACAGUACAAAACACUCAGUAGGAAUUCAGUGAGUUCUUUUUAACAAAUGAACUUGAUUCCCAAAGUUUUAGGAAAGGUAAAAGAGGGAAUGCCUCGCAGAACACUUGGCACCCAACAGAAGGGGACACAAAUAUGGGAUUUUCCCUUGGUGGAUCACUUGAAGGGCUGUCAUAAAUGGGAGCAGAACCUCAUUAUGUAUUGCUCCAGAGACUAACUGGUAAAAGUCAGAGGAAGAAAAAUAUUAAUUCAGCACUAACUGCCCUAAGAAACAUGGGAAGGGCUGUUUUAUGAAGCAGUGAACACCUCCACACUGCCUAUUUAUUCUGUCAUCAAAACUGUAAAAAAUGACUGUGGCCUGAGUGAUCUGAGAGCCUUUCUAGGAUUCUAAAGUUCUGUGAUUCUGUACAUAGGUGUAUUUUGGGUCCUGUCCUUUUCAUAGUUUUUUUAUGUAUACAAGCAUAUUGUUUUUAUUUCCGACUUCUGAGACCAAAACAAAAAACUGGUACAUUUAUCGACCUUUCUAUAAAGCGAGGAACCUGAACAUGGGACUUCAUCGUGAGAUACUAAUGGCUGUACUGAUUCCAGUUUUUGAGGUUUAUAAGUCUGUUCUCAUCUCAGCUGCCAUUAGCAUAGUUGCCUGCUGCUUUGGAGCAUAAGAAAGGGGAUAGAGGGGGUCACGAGAUUUGCUUUUUACCACAAUCAUGCUGGAAAUGUAAUUUCAUCAAACUACGCGAGAGUAAAACAUCUUUUUCAAAGGCCGUGUAUUACUGGAAUGCUUUUCUGUCCCAGUAACUGCAAACAGCCACCUGGGCUCUAUGUAGGGUGCAUCUCUCUGACACUGAAGUGCUUCCUUUGCAAGGAGCAGCUUUUGGGUGGAAAUCAUUAACAAGGAAACCCGUGCCAGUUUUAGGCUGGAAAGGCAGCGCCUCUGCCCAGUAGCUCCCUUUGGGUUCUGGCUCUACACCGCUGCCUGGGGAAAGACACUGACCAAGAAUACCAAGUCCCUCCCACCUUUCUUUUCUUUUACCUUGUUAAACAUUGGCACACUGCAUACAAAUUAAAGAGCAG